RNAcentral lists this ribosomal RNA (662 nucleotides) under uncultured fungus. RNAcentral describes it as "eukaryotic LSU rRNA". It matches the Rfam family "Eukaryotic large subunit ribosomal RNA", at positions 24 to 664 of the family's 3401-position model. Lineage: Eukaryota; Fungi. The record is from RNAcentral.
CCCGCUGAACUUAAGCAUAUCAAUAAGCGGAGGAAAAGAAACUAACAAGGAUUCCCCUAGUAACUGCGAGUGAAGAGGGAAAAGCUCAAAUUUAAAAUCUGGCAGUCUAUGGCUGUCCGAGUUGUAAAUUAGAGAAGUGUUAUCCGCUCAAGCCUGUGCAAAAGUCCCUUGGAAAAGGGCAUCAUAGAGGGUGACAAUCCCGUCUUUGGCACAGAUCACUUGCGCUUUUGUGAUGCGCUCUCGAUGAGUCGAGUUGUUUGGGAAUGCAGCUCUAAAUGGGUGGUAAAUUCCAUCUAAAGCUAAAUAUUGGCGAGAAACCGAUAGCGCACAAGUACCGUGAGGGAAAGAUGAAAAGAACUUUGAAAAGAGAGUUAAACAGUACGUGAAAUUGUUGAAAGGGAAACGCUUGGAGUCAGUCGUAUCCUGCAAAAUCAACCUAACUUUUGGUUGGGUGUACUUUUUGUAGGAUGGGUCAGCAUCAAUUUUGAUUGUUGGAAAAAGGACUUGGGAAUGUGGCAUCUUUGGAUGCGUUAUAGCCCUUGUUUGUAUACAAUGAUUGGGAUUGAGGAACUCAGUGUGACUUUUGUUUGGGGGCAUUGCCUCACAUCAACGCACUUAGGAUGCUGGCAUAAUGGCUUUAAUCGACCCGUCUUGAAACACGG